AGACAACAACAGCAGAACUGCAGUCACUGUGCAGAUAAUGACUUGGGGCUGAAUCAGUUAUUACAGAACAUGCUAAUUGGGUUUUAGGAGCAAUAAGAUGAUUCGUUGCCAGUAAUGUCCUUGUACUUUGCCAGCCGGUAAAAAACUGGUGAUAUCCGAGCAAGGUGCGGAUCGCUCUGAUUCCCUUGGGCUGGGCAUGGCAGAGGAUGUAUUUCUUAUGCAUGGAUUUGCAGCAUAUUUCCGUGUUUCACCAUUGGUGGAUUUUUUCAGGAAACGGGCACCAAAUUUCACACGGAAAAAUUUGCAGUGCGCCAAAAAAUUGAUGCCCACAGCUAAAAAAAUUGGAAAUCUUUGGAAAGAUAUGUGAAUUUGCCGGCGAAGAAAAACGGGACAGAUUCGCUUGUCACUAAUAGUAUGGUCGCAGGACAGGUAUCUUAUUCCUCCUGUAUCCCUAAGGGAAAUAGGAAGUGUCUUAUUACAGUUUAUAUACACCCUGGCAUUCCCAUCAUUCAUUCGGGAGAAAGGCAGAAGAAAAAAGCGAAAUCCCAGGCUAAUUCUGUCACAUUGGAUUUAGUGUGCAA
Long non-coding RNA from Xenopus tropicalis (tropical clawed frog), 581 nucleotides. RefSeq lists it as uncharacterized. NCBI's taxonomy places the organism in Eukaryota, Metazoa, Chordata, Amphibia, Anura, Pipidae. The transcript has 3 exons. The record is from RefSeq and is a predicted model, not a curated record.